RNAcentral lists this ribosomal RNA (501 nucleotides) under Dialister invisus. RNAcentral describes it as "bacterial SSU rRNA". It matches the Rfam family "Bacterial small subunit ribosomal RNA", at positions 28 to 495 of the family's 1533-position model. Lineage: Bacteria; Bacillati; Bacillota; Negativicutes; Veillonellales; Veillonellaceae. The record is from RNAcentral.
GACGAACGCUGGCGGCGUGCUUAACACAUGCAAGUCGAACGAAAAGAGGGAAAGAGCUUGCUCUUUCCGGAAUUGAGUGGCAAACGGGUGAGUAACACGUAAACAACCUGCCUUCAGGAUGGGGACAACAGACGGAAACGACUGCUAAUACCGAAUAAGUUCCAAGAGCCGCAUGGCCCAUGGAAGAAAAGGUGGCCUCUACCUGUAAGCUAUCGCCUGAAGAGGGGUUUGCGUCUGAUUAGCUGGUUGGAGGGGUAACGGCCCACCAAGGCGACGAUCAGUAGCCGGUCUGAGAGGAUGAACGGCCACACUGGAACUGAGACACGGUCCAGACUCCUACGGGAGGCAGCAGUGGGGAAUCUUCCGCAAUGGGCGAAAGCCUGACGGAGCAACGCCGCGUGAGUGAUGACGGCCUUCGGGUUGUAAAACUCUGUGAUCCGGGACGAAAAGGCAGAGUGCGAAGAACAAACUGCAUUGACGGUACCGGAAAAGCAAGCCACG